ACUGCUGGUGCUUUAGGAGGCAUUGCAGCUUCCUUUGUCCGUGUUCCAACUGAGGUCAUUAAGCAGCGAAUGCAAACUAGGCAAUUUGCUUCGGCUCCUGAUGCUGUUCGCUUAAUAGUCUCAAAAGAAGGUUUUAAAGGUCUUUAUGCGGGAUAUGGGUCAUUUCUACUUCGAGAUUUACCAUUUGAUGCCAUCCAGUUCUGUAUCUAUGAGCAGCUGCGGAUAGGUUAUAAGCUGGCUGCAAAAAGGGAAUUGAAUGAUCCAGAGAAUGCAGUUAUCGGUGCUUUUGCUGGUGCUCUAACUGGAGCUAUAACUACUCCUCUUGAUGUCAUUAAGACGAGAUUAAUGACUCAGGGUUCCGCCAAUCAAUACAAGGGCAUUGUUGAUUGUGUGAAGACUAUUGUUGCAGAAGAAGGGCCUCCAGCACUUCUAAAGGGCAUCGGGCCAAGAGUGCUUUGGAUAGGCAUUGGAGGAUCAAUAUUCUUUGGUGUUCUUGA
This 497-nucleotide unclassified non-coding RNA is filed under the name Hevea brasiliensis (rubber tree). The record is from RNAcentral. Lineage: Eukaryota; Viridiplantae; Streptophyta; Magnoliopsida; Malpighiales; Euphorbiaceae.